CCCCUCUCAGGGUCACACCUGGAGAGUGUCCAGUACUCUACCAGUCUUGACUAUGGGAGGGACAGUCAAGCAGAGGCAUAUCCAUUCAAUUCCUAGCUUAGGCAGUGGCUAGCGAGUGGAAGGCAAUUGCUGUUACAAGU
RNAcentral lists this small nucleolar RNA (140 nucleotides) under Ornithorhynchus anatinus (platypus). Lineage: Eukaryota; Metazoa; Chordata; Mammalia; Monotremata; Ornithorhynchidae. The record is from RNAcentral.